GCCUGGGUGGCUCAGUCGGUUAAGCGUCCGACUUCGGCUCAGGUCAUGAUUUCACAGUCUGUGGGUUCGAGCCCCGCAUCAGGCU
This is a transfer RNA of Felis catus (domestic cat), 85 nucleotides long. It matches the Rfam family "tRNA". Rfam says of the family: Transfer RNA (tRNA) molecules are approximately 80 nucleotides in length. The record is from Rfam. Lineage: Eukaryota; Metazoa; Chordata; Mammalia; Carnivora; Felidae.